UAACCUUGGGUUAGGCAUGAUUACCCACUGAGUUUAAGCAUAUCAAUCAGCAUAGGAAACGAAAGUUACCAGGAUUCCUCUAGUAAUGACAAGUGAAAUGAAAAUAGAAUAACUUGAGAAUUAGGUGCCCUCAAAGUCUAAAUUGUAGUUUGAAGAAACAUUUUCACCAGCAGACAAGGCCUAAGUCCUCUAGAAAGGGGUAUUGGAAAAGGUGAGAGCCCCAUUGUGCCUAGACCUUAUCACACCAUGAGGUGCUAUAUGAGAGUUGGUUUGUUUGGGAAUGUAGCUCCAAUCAAGUGGUAAAUUCUAUCCAAGGUUGAAUGUGGGUGAGAGAUCGAUGAACAAGUACUACAAGGGAAAGAGUAAAAGGACUUUGAAAUGAGAGCAAAGAGUGCAUGAAAUUGUCAGAGUUAAGUGGAUAGGGGCUGAUGAUACACCCCAGUUAGAUAUGGAAUGGUGAGAGCUAGUUUAAUGAUCAGUUCAAGGCAGGGACCUUUGUGGGUCAUAGUGGUGGCCCAAGCUUGAGCUUUCAAUAUGCCCACAGAGAUGUCAUCAUUAUGAUCAUGGAAUGCAGCAUGCACCAUCUCAACGUGUCUCAGCACUAACAUGCUUUUGGUGUCAACCUAUGGGCUCUCCAUCUAGCCUGUCUUAAAACAUAGACCAAGGAGUCAAACAUGUGUGCAAGUCAAUAAGCUAGAAAACUCGUAAGGUGUAAGGAAGUUGAUCGGCAGGAUCCCUCAUGGGUGCAUUACCGACUAACCUUGAUCUUUUGAGAAGGGUUCGAGUGUGAACAUGGUUGUUGGGACCCAAAUGAUGCUGAACUAUCACUAAGCAGGGUAAAGCCAAAGAAAACUCUGGUAGAGGCCUACAAUAAUACUAACAUGCAAAUCAUUCGUCUGACUUGAAUGUAGGGGCCAAAGACUAAUCAAACCAUCUAGUAGCUAGUUCCUUUCAAAGUUUCCCUUAAGAUAGCUAGAGCCCUUACCGAGUUCUAUCAGGUAAAGCCAAUGAUUAGAUCUAUCGAGGGCACAAUGCCCUCAACCUAUUCUCAAACUUUAAAUACGUAGGAUGGUGCAGCUACUUUGUUAAGCCACUCUAUUGAAUCAAGAGCUUUAAGUGGGCCAUUUCUGGUAAGCAGAACUGAUGAUGUGGGAUGAACUAAAAGCCAGGUUAUAGUGCCUAAUUGCAUGGUAACCUAGAGCUCACAAAGGGUGUUGGUUGAUUAAGAUAGCAGAAUGGUGGUAAUGGAAGUCAAAUCUGCUAAAGAGUGCAUAACAACUCACCCAUCAAUUCAACUAGCCCCAAAAAUGUAUGGCACUUAAGCAUGCGACCUAUACCCAAUCAUUAUGGCAAAGGCCAAACCUUGAUGAGUAAACAGGCAAAGUGGUCACCGUAAAACCUGGGGUGUGAGCCUAGACAGAGCGACCAUCGAUGUAGAUCUUGGUGAUAGUAGCAAAUAUUCAAAUGAGAAAUUUAAAGGCCAAUGAGGGGAAAUGUUCCAUGUGAUUGGCACUUGCACAUGGGUUAGUCAAUCCUAAGAGAUGGGGAAGCUCAUCUGACAGCAUCUCUAGCAUGAGUUUUGAAAGGGAAUCAGGUUAAAAUUCCUAAAUCGAGACAUGGAGGUUAAUGACAAUGUUAGAGAAUCUAAAGACAUCAGUGAGGGCAUUAGGAAGAGUUAUUUAUUUUGUUUAAUAGCCUACCCAACUUAGAAACAGCUCAACUAGAGGUAGAGUCCAGGCCCUAAAAGAGCAUCGCAUGUCACUUGGUGUUCAGUGCGCCACUGAUGGCCCUUGAAAAUCUAGAAAACCAAGUGCCAUCUUUGUCCAAUCAUACACAUAACCACAUCAAGUCUCCAAGGUGAAUAGCCUUUGGUUGAUGGAACAAUGUAGGCAAGGGAAGUCAGCAAAAUGUGUCCAUAACCUUAAGAAAAGGAUUAGCUUUGAGGGCCAAGCACAAGAGUCCCAGUCUCGAACCCAUCAACUACUGUGCACUACUCGAGUUGCUCUUAUGAUAAGAAUAGGUUACCACAUGCUAACUAGGGGAUGGACUGGGUAUAACUCCCUUGGAUGCCUUUUUCGAGUGAUGAACAGUUGAUUUAGAAUUACUACAAAUAAGGAAAUCCAACCAUUUAAUUAAAACAAAGCAUUGCGAUGGACCCUAUGGAUGCUUACAUAAUGUGAUUUUUGCCCAGAGCUCUGAAUGUCAAAGUGAAAAAAUUCAACCAAGUGUGGGUAAAUAGUGAGAGUAACUGUGACUCUCUUAAGGUAGUAAAAUGCCAUGUCAUCUAAUUGGUGUCGCACAUGAAUGGAUUAAUGAGGUUCCUACUAUCCCCAUCUACUAUCCCACGUAACCAUAGCUAAUGGAAUAAGCUUGGUAGAAUCAGUGGGCAAUGAAGACCCUAUAAAGCUUGACUCUAGUCCAACUAUGUUAAAUGACUUACGAGGGGUAGGAUAAGUAGAAGCCCUUGGGUGAAAUUCAAAUACCACUACUUUUAACGUUAUUUUACUUAUUUUGUGAAUCGAAGGUAAGGCACGACCUCCUUUUUUGGACCCAAGGUCAACCUCAGUCAGUUGAUUUGAGUAGAAGACAUUAUUAGGUGGGAAGUUUGGCUAGGGUGGCACAUUUAUUAAAAGAUAACAUAGGUUUCCUAAGUUGAGCUCAAUGAGAUCAGAAAUCUCAUGUGGAACAAAGGGGUAAAAGCUCAUUUGAUUCUAAUUUCCAAUAUCAAUACAAACCAUGAAAGCAUGGCUUAUCGAUCCUUUAAACCUUCAAAAUUUGAAGCAAAAGGUGUCAAAAAAGUUACCAAAGGGAUAACUAGCUUAUGUCAACUAACCAUUCAUAGCGACAUUGCUUUUUGAUCUUUUGAUAUCAGCUCUUCCUAUCAUUGUGAAGCAAAAUUCAUCAAGUGUUGGAUUGUUCACCCAUUAAUGAGGAACAUGAGCUAGGUUUAGACCAUCAUAAGAUUGUUACUUUUACCCUACCAAUGGUAGCGUCGUAAUAUUAAUUCAACCUAAUACAAGAAGAACCAUUAAUUCACACAUUUAGGCAUCAUGAUUGGCUGAAAAGCCAAUGGUGUGAAGUUACUAUGUGCAAGAUUAUGAUUGAAUGCCUCUGAGUUGGAAUCCAGACAAUAAGGGAUGCACAUACCACUCACCCGAUUGCUGACUCGUAGUAGAGGCUUAUUGCCCCUAAGAACACGUGUCAUAGGUGUAGUCCCUAAGGUGGACAAGCCACGUGGGCCUUUUUUGGAGCUCAAUUCCCACUAAGCAAAAGAGUAAAAUCC
Molecule: ribosomal RNA, 3283 nt
Filed under: Durio zibethinus
Lineage: Eukaryota; Viridiplantae; Streptophyta; Magnoliopsida; Malvales; Malvaceae
Description: eukaryotic LSU rRNA
Rfam family: Eukaryotic large subunit ribosomal RNA
Source: RNAcentral